CUUACAAGUUUCUAAUAAAAAUUUACCAUAAAAUCAUUUUAAUGUUUUAUUAAAAAACUGGCGUUUUCACAGUGUUACGUCUUAAAAAAUGUCUGUGUAAAUCAAAAUACUAAGGCACUUUAUGACAUGAAUAUUGUAACUUGAAAAAAAAAUCAAAACAAUAAUCAUUAUUCUACUUUCAAAAAUUAAACUGUCAGCAUGGUUGACAACCACUUUAUAUUUUGUAUAACAAUAAGCAUAAUUAUCUUAAGUAUUUAUACAAUGAGUCUGUAGUAUGUAUUUUUCAAUUUAAUUUUAAAAUAAUACAAAUAUAGUAAACAGAAUGUAAUACAAGGACCUGAAGUAAGAAGAAACUAUGUUAAAUACUUAAACAAAUAAUUUACUGUUCCAUUCAAUACUUACUUAUUUUUUCAAUUAUUAAAUGUAGGUAAUAACUAAUAUUUUUAAAUAAUAAAAUUUAUUAAAAUGAAGAAACACAUUCUUUAUUGUUCAGUGGAAACCAUAGACAAUACAAAUAUAUGGUUAUGUUAAUAAAAGUAUUUAUAUACCUAUAACCCAAGUUAAAAUUACAAUAAAUCAAAUCACAAAAUAAUUAUACGAAAUAAAUCAUUAUAUUGUGCAUAUUAUCAAAAAAUAGCACCAAAACUUGAUAAAAGUAUGUAGCAUUAGUAAGGCUUUAAAAAAUCAAUUUAAACUGCAACCAAAAAGGAUCACGUGGAGGUUGCCAACUCCCAUCUUAAAAAACUAGUUUUAAUAAUUUAUCAUUAUCUCAUUUUUUUCAUUUUUUUCUCUUAGGUUUGGAGGACUCCCCCUAUCCCGCUUACAGUAUAAAAUGUCAUGUGACUUGGAUAUGCUGCAUGAUAAAGUUUUUUUAAUAGGUUAAAGGUCGUUGGACAACCAUACUAUCUUAAAUCGUGCUUCAUACUCCUGUAAAUAUUUCAGAAACCAUUUAUAUUAUUCCGGAAUAUUAUGUUAAGUCAAAUUUUAGAUUCUGAGUGAAGCGAAGAAACUUAUAGUUUUAUAAAUAUUUUUUUUUAUCUAUGCACAACUUUUCUACCAGAAGACUUGCUUGGAUUUCAACAUGUAACACCUUUUCUAAAAGGAAAUCGGAGUCGAGAGAUAAUUUUUCGAUUUUCUCAAUGGUUUUCUCAUCAAAAUUGAAAACCGAAAAAAAACCGGGAAAAUUUACGAAAUAUAAUAAAUAUAAUUUACAAUAUUUUUUUCCUGUGGACAACUUUUCUACAAGCAAUUUUGCUCCAACUUUUAAUGAUAGCAAUGUUUCUAAAAGGAAAUUUCACUUAGAAGAUACUUCAACUUCAAAGAGGACGGAAUCGAUUUUCUCAAGAGUUUUCUCAUCAAAAAUGAAAAACCUAAAAAAAAGACGUCCUAAAAUAAUGGGGACAGGUGUAGCCACUGUUAACAAUAUUUAAUAAUAUUUAUUUAAUAUUGUAGAAAUUUUUCCCUUUAAUUGGAAAAACUUCUGGAAAAAUCGAAAAAUUCCCACCCUAAAGUACCUUUUCAGUCAGAUUUCAGUUCAGAAAAAGGGCUAUCAUUUUAAAUCGGAGCGAAAUUGCUAAUAGAAAAGUUGAACAUAGAAAAAGAAGCCAUAAUAUUUUUUUACUAAUAUAUACCUACAUUUAGUAUAUUUUCCGUUUUUCCGACAUUUUAACUGGGUUUUUCCCAGAUAUGAAAACUGCUUAAAAAAUCAAAAAAUGACUUCUAUAAAUUACCUUGGAUAUAAAAUUUCCUUUCCGAAAAUAAGCUACACUUGAUACAGAUGUUGAGCAAGAUUUCUGGUAGAAAAGUUUGCAUAACUAAUCGAGGGGUGUUUAAAAUAGUCCGAAGGAACGAUGGCUUGUACACAGCUAGGUACAUCCAAAAUGCAUUUGUUUUUUCCUUGUUUAGGUUAAAGGGAAAAAUAAUGCAAAACAUUUUUCUUCACACACUGGUCUGAACUCGGAACCCCUAAUAUGAUCAUAGGCAUAUGAAACCAUUAGAUCACGACAAAUAUGCUUUAAGAACAAUAUAGUUAUUUAACAUAACAUAUAAUAUCAGAGCUUCAAAAAGCUACAAUUUUCGAAACUUAAUCACUCUGCUUAAUUCUGACUUCACCAUCGUUCUUAAAUUGGCAAUAUACAUGUUUCAAAAAAAAAAAAUUAAAAGAAAAAUUAGAUUAGUUCCACAUAAUUUUUUCGUGAAAAUUUGAUAUUAAAAUUCCCUUAUAAAAAAAAAAAAAUACUGUUAAUACAGUCAAGGUGAUAUCGAUUGCGAAU
Cinara cedri is the source of this 2273-nucleotide non-coding RNA. Lineage: Eukaryota; Metazoa; Arthropoda; Insecta; Hemiptera; Aphididae. The record is from the annotation of a GenBank genome assembly.